RNAcentral lists this ribosomal RNA (443 nucleotides) under uncultured bacterium. Its description in RNAcentral is "partial 16S ribosomal RNA". It matches the Rfam family "Bacterial small subunit ribosomal RNA", at positions 338 to 795 of the family's 1533-position model. The record is from RNAcentral.
CCUACGGGAGGCAGCAGUGGGGAAUAUUGGACAAUGGGGGGAACCCUGAUCCAGCGACGCCGCGUGAGUGAAGAAGGAUUUCGGUAUGUAAAGCUCUAUCAGCAGGGAAGAAAGAAAUGACGGUACUGGACUAAGAAGCCUCGGCUAACUACGGGCCAGCAGCCGCGGUAAUACGUAGGGGGCAAGCGUUAUCCGGAUGUACUGGGUGUAAAGGGCGCGUAGACGGCGAUGCAAGUCUGAAGUGAAAGGCGGGGGCCCAACCCCCGGACUGCUUUGGAAACUGUAUGGCUGGAGUGCAGGAGAGGUAAGUGGAAUUCCUGGUGUAGCGGUGAAAUGCGUAGAGAUUAGGAGGAACACCAGUGGCGAAGGCGGCUUACUGGACUGUAACUGACGUUGAGGCUCGAAAGCGUGGGGAGCAAACAGGAUUAGAUACCCCUGUAGUC